Molecule: ribosomal RNA, 912 nt
Filed under: uncultured bacterium
Lineage: Bacteria
Description: bacterial SSU rRNA
Rfam family: Bacterial small subunit ribosomal RNA
Source: RNAcentral
AGAGUUUGAUCCUGGCUCAGGAUGAACGCUAGCGGCAGGCUUAACACAUGCAAGUCGAGGGGUAACAGGGAAAAGCUUGCUUUUUUGCUGACGACCGGCGCACGGGUGAGUAACGCGUAUACAAUUUACCUUAUACAGGAGGAUAGCCUUUAGAAAUGAAGAUUAAUACUCCAUGGCAUUAUGAUAUGGCAUCAUAUUAUAAUUAAAGAUUUAUCGGUAUAAGAUGAGUAUGCGUCCUAUUAGUUAGUUGGUAAGGUAAUGGCUUACCAAGACUUCGAUAGGUAGGGGUCCUGAGAGGGAGACCCCCCACACUGGUACUGAGACACGGACCAGACUCCUACGGGAGGCAGCAGUGAGGAAUAUUGGACAAUGGAGGCAACUCUGAUCCAGCCAUGCCGCGUGCAGGAAGACUGCCCUAUGGGUUGUAAACUGCUUUUAUAUAGGAAGAAACCCAACCACGUGUGGUUGGCUGACGGUACUGUAUGAAUAAGCACCGGCUAACUCCGUGCCAGCAGCCGCGGUAAUACGGAGGGUGCAAGCGUUAUCCGGAAUCAUUGGGUUUAAAGGGUCCGUAGGCGGGUAAUUAAGUCAGAGGUGAAAUCCCACAGCUUAACUGUGGAACUGCCUUAGAUACUGGUUAUCUUGAGUUUUAGUGAAGUAGAUAGAAUGUGUAGUGUAGCGGUGAAAUGCAUAGAUAUUACACAGAAUACCGAUUGCGAAGGCAGUCUACUAACUAACAACUGACGCUAAUGGACGAAAGCGUGGGGAGCGAACAGGAUUAGAUACCCUGGUAGUCCACGCCGUAAACGAUGGAUACUAGUUGUUGGGGUUUACCUCAGUGACUAAGCGAAAGUGAUAAGUAUCCCACCUGGGGAGUACGUUCGCAAGAAUGAAACUUAAAGGAAUUGAUGG